This 443-nucleotide ribosomal RNA is filed under the name uncultured bacterium. RNAcentral describes it as "partial 16S ribosomal RNA". It matches the Rfam family "Bacterial small subunit ribosomal RNA", at positions 338 to 795 of the family's 1533-position model. The record is from RNAcentral.
CAGACGGGAGGCAGCAGGGGGGAAGAGGGGGCAAGGGGCGCAAGCCUGACCCAGCAACGCCGCGUGAAGGAAGAAGGCUUUCGGGUUGUAAACUUCUUUUCUGAGGGACGAAGAAAGUGACGGUACCUCAGGAAUAAGCCACGGCUAACUACGUGCCAGCAGCCGCGGUAAUACGUAGGUGGCAAGCGUUAUCCGGAUUUAUUGGGUGUAAAGGGCGUGUAGGCGGGAAAGCAAGUCAGAUGUGAAAACUCAGGGCUCAACCCUGAGCCUGCAUUUGAAACUGUUUUUCUUGAGUGCUGGAGAGGCAAUCGGAAUGCCGUGUGUAGCGGUGAAAUGCGUAGAUAUACGGAGGAACACCAGUGGCGAAGGCGGAUUGCUGGACAGUAACUGACGCUGAGGCGCGAAAGCGUGGGGAGCAAACAGGAUUAGAUACCCUUGUAGUC